Molecule: unclassified non-coding RNA, 307 nt
Filed under: Hevea brasiliensis (rubber tree)
Lineage: Eukaryota; Viridiplantae; Streptophyta; Magnoliopsida; Malpighiales; Euphorbiaceae
Source: RNAcentral
AAAAAAAAAAAAAAAAAAUCUCACCGGUUAAAUUAUCAUUCUACCCAUUAAGAAGUUACAAAAGCAUGACAUGGAUGAAGCAUGACAUGGAUGAAGCAUGACAUUCUUUUGCACACACCCUCCUUACCAUUGCUUAACUCCUCUUCCACAUGUACCAUAUACAAUGUUAAGUGUGAAAUUUGAGAACAUAUUGAACACAAUCACUCACAAAGUUAUAUGAAGAAGGAAAUUGACGUUAUUAAGCAAAGCAAAAGAUCAAUUAAUGUAAAGAAAACUAACCCAUUCUCACCUUCUCCUUUUCCCUGUU